RNAcentral lists this ribosomal RNA (253 nucleotides) under uncultured prokaryote. RNAcentral's name for it is "partial 16S ribosomal RNA". It matches the Rfam family "Bacterial small subunit ribosomal RNA", at positions 524 to 776 of the family's 1533-position model. The record is from RNAcentral.
UACAGAGGUCCCGAGCGUUGUUCGGAUUCACUGGGCGUAAAGGGCGCGUAGGCGGAAAUGCCAGUCAGAUGUGAAAUCCCGGGGCUCAACCCCGGAACAGCAUUUGAAACUACAUUUCUAGAGGGUAGGCGGAGAAAACGGAAUUCCACAAGUAGCGGUGAAAUGCGUAGAUAUGUGGAAGAACACCAGUGGCGAAGGCGGUUUUCUAGCUUAUACCUGACGCUGAGGCGCGAAAGCAAGGGGAGCAAACAGG